UUCAAUGUACCUGCCAUGUAUGUUGCUAUCCAGGCUGUUCUCUCAUUGUAUGCCAGUGGUCGUACAACAGGUAAUGUGCUGGAUUCUGGUGAUGGUGUUUCUCACACUGUGAACAAUCUAUGAGGGGUAUGCCCUUCCUCAUGUCAUCCUCCGUCUGGACCUUACUGGCCGUGAUCUUACUGAUGCUUUGAUGAAGAUUCUUACUGAGAGAGGUUACAUGUUCACCACCACUGCUGACGUGAAAUUGUCCGUGACAUGAAGGAGAAGCUUGCAUAUAUUGCCCUGGACUACGAGCAGGAACUGGAGACUGCCAAGAGCAGCUCUUUUGUUGAGAAGAACUAUGAGUUGCCUGAUGGACAAGUCAUUACUAUCGGGGUUGAGAGGUUUCUCUGUCCUGAAGUUCUCUUCCAGCCAUCUCUCAUUGGGAUGGAAGCUGCUGGAAUCCAUCAAACUACCUACAACUCCAUCAUGAACUGUGAUGUGGAUAUCAGGAAGGAUUUCUAUGGCAACAUUGUGCUUAGGGUGGCUCGACUAUGUUCCCAGGUAUUGCAGACCGUAUGACCAAGGAGAUCACUGCCCUUGUUCCAAGCAGCAUGAAGAUCAAGGUUGUUACUCCACCAGAGAGGAAGUACAGUGUCUGGAUUGGAGGAUCUAUCUUGGCAUCACUCAGCACCUUCCAGCAGAUGUAGAUUUCCAAGGGCGAGUAUGAUGAGUCUGGUCCAUCCAUUGUCCACAGGAAGUGCUUCUAAGUUAUCUGCAAGUGAUUUGACGGUGAGUUACAUUUAAUGUUUAGUUGGUUUCUCGUGUCCUGUGUCAAGU
This is a long non-coding RNA of Hibiscus syriacus, 819 nucleotides long. RefSeq lists it as uncharacterized. NCBI's taxonomy places the organism in Eukaryota, Viridiplantae, Streptophyta, Magnoliopsida, Malvales, Malvaceae. The transcript has 3 exons. The record is from RefSeq and is a predicted model, not a curated record.